GCCUCUGGUCGGCAGGAACAGAAAUACUCACAUUCCAGUUCCAGUAAUCCCAGCAAAGUGCUCUGAUUGGCCCAACUUGAAUCAGCUCAGCUUUGGUGUUCUCUGACCGUCUAGCCGGAAUCCCCCAGCGUGAGUGGCUCUGGGCAGCUUCCUUGCACGAAUACAUCACAGUCUAUUCGUUCAUCCCCCUGCUGAUGGAAAAUUGGGUCGCUCCCCAGUUUGUCUGCCCAGAGCAGUACUGACUUCUUCUGGGUGGUUUUCGGUUUAUGGAAAAGUUGAGUGGAACGUGCAGAGCAUCCUCACCCACGUCCAGCACCCUGCACUGGUUCACAUUAGUGGAAACUCCCCGCUGCGCCUGGCAAUUUGGAUGUCAUCGAAAUCUGCCCCUCAGACGGCGGCUGGACACGGCUUGGCCCACGGGCUGGAGGGUCGGUCCCAUGGAGCGCACCCGAGGUCCAGAGCAGAGUGGGCACGGGGCUGGAGGCGGGCGUGAGGUGCCUCCCACAGCCCCUCCCUCCAGCCCCGGGAUGCGGGAGACCGGGGGGGCGCCCAGCCCUUUGCCCACUUAGGCUCCUUCUCCCUUACGAUGCGCCGCAGCCCUGGAGGUGGAGGUCGCCGGCCUGCUCCCCCGGUGAGAAAACCAGCUCUACUGGGACAGAAUCUUGCCCGCAGCGACCAGCCAGAGGGGAGCUCAGAGCCCCAGUCUUGGCCCGAGCCUUCCGUGGGGACGCCAGCUGUCCUCUCAAAGCUUGGGUGAGGCUGGGCCCCUCGGCCCGCCCGGGGUGGGCGUGGGAGUGGGGCUGCUCUGGCCCCCCUGCCGGGGACGUGUGCCUGGUUUGCCCACCCGCAAUCUCGCCAGUGGAGGAGCACCGAGGAGAUGCAGUUAAUGACUUAAGCUGCCUUCUCAUCACCCGCCAAGGGAUAAUCAGACUAAAUGGCGACCUUAGUUUUGUAAAAGCCAAUGAAAUAUACAU
Delphinapterus leucas (beluga whale) is the source of this 974-nucleotide non-coding RNA. The record is from RefSeq and is a predicted model, not a curated record. NCBI's taxonomy places the organism in Eukaryota, Metazoa, Chordata, Mammalia, Artiodactyla, Monodontidae.